This 311-nucleotide long non-coding RNA is filed under the name Setaria italica (foxtail millet). RNAcentral describes it as "long non-coding RNA (SITA_LNC000705)". Lineage: Eukaryota; Viridiplantae; Streptophyta; Magnoliopsida; Poales; Poaceae. The record is from RNAcentral.
CGCUCCACAUCGGCUGCAGUUGUCUCAAGGAGCUCGGCCUUCUUCUUCUUAGCGGCCGAGCUCGGCGAGUCGGACUCCUCAUUGUCGGGCAUGCAUCCCAGGCCCACGAGUAGGCCCUGUGCGGGGCGUACUCGGACGUAAUCGAGGCUUGAGGGCUACGCAACAAAGGAGCGUGGCCCACUCGGACUCCCGGAGACUAGUCGACAUAUAUAUAGAAACUACCGUCUACACCGAGUAGGACUCUGUAACUGUAUCCGACUAAGAUUCUAAACCUGUAACCCUGCUCCCCCGAUCAUAUAAGGGUGGGCAGG